RNAcentral lists this ribosomal RNA (301 nucleotides) under uncultured bacterium. Its description in RNAcentral is "partial 16S ribosomal RNA". It matches the Rfam family "Bacterial small subunit ribosomal RNA", at positions 509 to 807 of the family's 1533-position model. The record is from RNAcentral.
CAGCAGCCGCGGUAAUACGUAGGUGGCAAGCGAUGUUCGGAAUUAUUGGGCGUAAAGGGCGCGUAGGCGGUUUGACAAGUCUUAUGUGAAAUCUUCGGGCUCAACUCGAAGUCUGCAUGGGAAACUGUCGGGCUUGAGUAUGGGAGAGGUGAGUGGAAUUUCCGGUGUAGCGGUGAAAUGCGUAGAUAUCGGAAGGAACACCUGUGGCGAAAGCGGCUCACUGGACCAUAACUGACGCUGAGGCGCGAAAGCUAGGGGAGCAAACAGGAUUAGAUACCCCUGUAGUCCCUGUCUCUUAUAC